Molecule: non-coding RNA, 22 nt
Filed under: Arabidopsis thaliana (thale cress)
Lineage: Eukaryota; Viridiplantae; Streptophyta; Magnoliopsida; Brassicales; Brassicaceae
Source: RNAcentral
UGGUUUUCGCCGUGUGUUGUGA